Molecule: non-coding RNA, 514 nt
Filed under: Trypanosoma cruzi marinkellei
Lineage: Eukaryota; Euglenozoa; Kinetoplastea; Trypanosomatida; Trypanosomatidae
Description: Eukaryotic large subunit ribosomal RNA
Rfam family: Eukaryotic large subunit ribosomal RNA
Source: Rfam by way of RNAcentral
GCUUCACUUAUCGAAUGAAGAGACCAAUGGGUUUUCGCGUAGUCUGCGGGCUAUGCACCGUCUAGGUUUGGGAUUUUUUUAAUAUGGCGGUAACCCCGUCUCCACGGGAGGUUGUAUGCAUGUAUAGCCUCUUUGCCGGGGUGUGUGUGUGCAUACGACCGCGUUUUUACCAUCAGGCCUAGUAUAUAUUUUGCUGGGUUUGAUGGCCCGUGGGCACCCAACCGUGCUGACAAACUGAACCAACGGGGUUGCUUCGGCAGCUCCGGAGUCUUGUUUCGAGACAUCUGCCAGAUGGGGAGUUUGGCUGGGGCGGCAUAUCUGUUACACGACAACGCAGGUGUCCUAAGGCGAGCUCAGUGGGAACAGAAAAUCUCACGUAGAACACAAGCGUAAAAGCUUGCUUGAUUAACGAUUUCCAGUACGAAUCGAGACUGCGAAAGCAAGGCCAGCGAUCCUUUGCGAAAUAUAGGAAAUAUGAACAAAUCAUACCAGAGUGUCAGAAUAAUUACCACAG